GGUGGUUCUCAGGUGACACACCCUGAAAUCAGGCUCCCUCCUUUCUAGUUUCGGGUGCAUCACCCGAGAACCACA
Molecule: non-coding RNA, 75 nt
Organism: Myotis davidii
Lineage: Eukaryota; Metazoa; Chordata; Mammalia; Chiroptera; Vespertilionidae
Source: Rfam